Molecule: non-coding RNA, 537 nt
Organism: Phascolarctos cinereus (koala)
Lineage: Eukaryota; Metazoa; Chordata; Mammalia; Diprotodontia; Phascolarctidae
Source: RefSeq, a predicted model, not a curated record
CAGCCCAACUGGAUGGCGAAAGAUGGAAGCAGUGCAGAGGAAGAGACUUUAGGGGACAUGAAGACCAAUGCCCUCAUUUUACCAAUAGGGAAACGGAAGCCUGGAGAGGACAAAUCUUCAGGCUGAUAAUGAGGAAAUAACCUGGAGUCAAAAGGUAGUCACAGGACAGCAUCUUGUAGAGACUAUGGGCACGGUAGAGCCAUCAGAAGAGCCAAGGAGAGGACACCCAGUGAUCUGGCUCUCUGCCCUGGGUUUUGGACCUCACCAAACAUCUUUAUGAAGAAUCCUCCUGUGGAGUCAGUAGUGAUAACUUCCUACAAAACCAGAACUUAACUGUGUUUGACUAUAUUUAGAGUUCAUCAAUCCUGGGAAAAUACAAAAAAUCUGAUCCUCUCCGGAAAGAAUGAGGUAUGUCAUCAGUGCUUUUACCUUCCCCCUUGCACCAUGAAAAAACAAAUAGGAGGACCUGUUUCAUUGUUACGCUUGUUAUGAAAUGUUUCCUGAUUUCCCUGCCACUAUUCACUCUAACGUAAGCAA